This is a long non-coding RNA of Atta colombica, 703 nucleotides long. RefSeq lists it as uncharacterized. The transcript has 4 exons. NCBI's taxonomy places the organism in Eukaryota, Metazoa, Arthropoda, Insecta, Hymenoptera, Formicidae. The record is from RefSeq and is a predicted model, not a curated record.
CGGAAUCUCUUAAAUCACAAAAACGACGAGAAACGGCAUAGGAUCGUUCAUCGUUGGAUUUCUUUAUUAAGGUGCUGUCAAAAAGCAAACAAUGGAAAGAGAACAGAGAUGAAAAGCAAGCUUGAUAAUUUUGUGAGGAGGAGGAGGAGGAGGAGGAGGUUCAGAAAAAGCAAUGGAGUAACUUUGCGAAUCACGUAACUCCGUAGCUGAUAAUUCCAUUGCUGCGCAUGAGUUGAUCUUCCUUCUUCUUCUUUUAUUGAUACACGCAGUCAUCUCAGCUAUGAUCAGGCCAUUAAUCGGUUAGUGAAGAUGUAAUAAAAUAUAAUGGAGAUUUUCCACGGCUCUAUAUUGAGAAAUCGGAGCAUCGAUCGAUUACUUUAAAAUGGAUUAGCUACAAACAAUUAUGAUACAUAUUUAAUUUUGAAUUUGUCUAUCAUUAUUUAUCAACUUGAUCAGUGUUUUGGUAUACUAUUGUACUUGAGACUAUUAUGUUUAUACCCGGAAAAAAUAUAAAAUUAUAUAUAAUUAUAUUAAAAAGUGACAUAUUUUCUGUACAAUUACAUAUGAUUAUUAUAAAAUAUGUAAUAUAUAUAUUUUUUCCCGGAUUUUCAAACAAAUAUACAUAAAAAAGAAAAUGAAAUAAAAUUUAAUGAGGAGUUAGUGUUAUAAAUUAUAUAAAAUUAAUAAAAUUAUAUAAUAUUAA